This 500-nucleotide ribosomal RNA is filed under the name uncultured bacterium. Its description in RNAcentral is "partial 16S ribosomal RNA". It matches the Rfam family "Bacterial small subunit ribosomal RNA", at positions 30 to 523 of the family's 1533-position model. The record is from RNAcentral.
AUUGAACGCUGGCGGAAUGCUUUACACAUGCAAGUCGAACGGCAGCACGGACUUCGGUCUGGUGGCGAGUGGCGAACGGGUGAGUAAUGUAUCGGAACGUGCCCAGUCGUGGGGGAUAACGUAGUGAAAAUUACGCUAAUACCGCAUACGAUCUAUGGAUGAAAGCGGGGGAUCGCAAGACCUCGCGCGAUUGGAGCGGCCGAGAUCAGAUUAGGUAGUUGGUGGGGUAAAGGCCCACCAAGCCAACGAUCUGUAGCUGGUCUGAGAGGACGACCAGGCACACUGGAACUGAGACACGGUCCAGACUCCUACGGGAGGCAGCAGUGGGGAAUUUUGGACAAUGGGCGAAAGCCUGAUCCAGCCAUUCCGCGUGCAGGAUGAAGGCCCUCGGGUUGUAAACUGCUUUUGUACAGAACGAAAAGGUUUCUACUAAUACUAGGAGCUCAUGACGGUACUGUAAGAAUAAGCACCGGCUAACUACGUGCCAGCCGCCGCUGUAA